RNAcentral lists this long non-coding RNA (329 nucleotides) under Theobroma cacao (cacao). RNAcentral describes it as "long non-coding RNA (TCAC_LNC001000)". The record is from RNAcentral. Lineage: Eukaryota; Viridiplantae; Streptophyta; Magnoliopsida; Malvales; Malvaceae.
GUAUUACAACAGCAGACGGAGGCCAUAGCAAGGCUGGGCAAUGUGUUGAAGCGAGAUAUCAGGGAUAUGGAGAUAAUAAUGGCUGAAGACACGGAUAUGACAGAAGAUGGGAGCUAGAAUGAUGAUAAAUCUCUGAUGAUUCUUUGAUGUUGUUUUCAAGUUUUAUAGUUGGAUUAGAUAGGAAUUCAAAGAUUGCUGUUUUCACUUUUUCUCACCAAUAUUCAUCAGUGAUGCAAGAGAGUGAUGAUCAAUUCUAUGGUCUUGGGAGUUCUAGGAACUUCCAUAUUGAUCCUAUACAAAUAGGAACUUCCACCUGAGGAGGAUCAAGG